CAAUAGCGUAUAUUAAAGUUGUUGCGGUUAAAAAGUUCGUAGUUGGAUUUCUGCCAAGGACGACCGGUCCGCCCUCUGGGUGAGUAUCUGGCUUGGCCUGGGCAUCUUCUUGGAGAACGUUGCUGCGCUUCACUGCGUGGUGCGGUAUCCAGGACUUUUACUUUGAGGAAAUUAGAGUGUUUCAAGCAGGCUUCCGCCUUGAAUACAUUAGCAUGGAAUAAUAAGAUAGGACCUCGGUUCUAUUUUGUUGGUUUCUAGAGCUGGGGUAAUGAUUAAUAGGGAUAGUUGGGGGCAUUCGUAUUUAACUGUCAGAGGUGAAAUUCUUGGAUUUGUUAAAGACGGACUACUGCGAAANCANNNGCCAAGGAUGUUUUCAUNGA
This 380-nucleotide ribosomal RNA is filed under the name uncultured eukaryote. RNAcentral describes it as "partial 18S ribosomal RNA". It matches the Rfam family "Eukaryotic small subunit ribosomal RNA", at positions 592 to 976 of the family's 1831-position model. The record is from RNAcentral.